UACGUAGGCAGCGAGCGUUGUUCGGAGUUACUGGGCGUAAAGCGUGCGUAGGCGGUGGUCCAAGUCUGGUGUGAAAUCUCCCGGCUUAACUGGGAGGGUGCGCCGGAAACUGGGCCGCUGGAGUACGGGAGAGGCAAGCGGAAUUCCUGGUGUAGCGGUGAAAUGCGUAGAUAUCAGGAGGAACACCGGUGGCGAAGGCGGCUUCCUGGACCGACACUGACGCUGAGGCGCGAAAGCUAGGGGAGCAAACGGG
RNAcentral lists this ribosomal RNA (253 nucleotides) under uncultured bacterium. Its description in RNAcentral is "partial 16S ribosomal RNA". It matches the Rfam family "Bacterial small subunit ribosomal RNA", at positions 524 to 776 of the family's 1533-position model. The record is from RNAcentral.